CUGGAAUACUAUCAAUAACACAAAGUUAUUGGUGCUAUUGAUUUUUUAGCCCUUGGAUUGAUAAAUAGAUGGUUAGGAUGAUGUGGGUCUCCUAGGAUUGAGUGAGUAGUUGGUUGAAUUGUAUAAUCUAACGGGUAAAAGUAAUCAAAAGGUUAAAUCUAACGGUGGAAAACUCGAUAACACCAAAUCCUUAGUGCUAUCGAUAGUACCCAUCCGGACUAUAUAUAUAUAUAGUGUAAUACUGAAUACAA
RNAcentral lists this long non-coding RNA (251 nucleotides) under Ananas comosus (pineapple). RNAcentral's name for it is "long non-coding RNA (ACOM_LNC032470)". The record is from RNAcentral. Lineage: Eukaryota; Viridiplantae; Streptophyta; Magnoliopsida; Poales; Bromeliaceae.